AAACUGUGAUAACUGAUGUGAAUUGCAGAACACUGUGAAUCAUCGAAAUUUUGAAUGCACUGCGCCAUCUGGUUUUCCAGAAGGCACGUCUGUCUGAGUGUUGGUUUCUUAUUAUUUCAAUUCCUUCAAAAGGGGGAGAUUGAAGAAAUUGAGGCGUCAGAAGCUUUUCUGACCCUUGGAAAAUAGUUGACAGCUUUUCACAAGCAAUAUGAAGCAGCUAGAUUUUAUCAAGCACUUCUGUAGCUCUGAAAAGCUGUGCAUCCCUUUUAAAUUGCAUGUAACUUUCAACCUCAGAUCAGACGAGAUCACCCGCUGAACUUAAGC
Molecule: unclassified non-coding RNA, 324 nt
Filed under: plant metagenome
Description: partial contains internal transcribed spacer 2 and large subunit ribosomal RNA
Rfam family: 5.8S ribosomal RNA (bases 1-103)
Source: RNAcentral